CGGGAUGUAGCGCAGCCUGGUAGCGCGUUCGCUUGGGGUGCGAAAGGUCGUGAGUUCAAAUCUCGCCAUCCCGA
RNAcentral lists this transfer RNA (74 nucleotides) under Pseudomonadota bacterium. RNAcentral describes it as "tRNA-Pro". It matches the Rfam family "tRNA". Rfam says of the family: Transfer RNA (tRNA) molecules are approximately 80 nucleotides in length. Their secondary structure includes four short double-helical elements and three loops (D, anti-codon, and T loops). RNAcentral also lists the same sequence under 2 other names. The record is from RNAcentral. Lineage: Bacteria; Pseudomonadati; Pseudomonadota.